Molecule: ribosomal RNA, 253 nt
Filed under: uncultured bacterium
Lineage: Bacteria
Description: partial 16S ribosomal RNA
Rfam family: Bacterial small subunit ribosomal RNA
Source: RNAcentral
UACGAGGGGUGCAAGCGUUGCUCGGAAUUAUUGGGCGUAAAGGGUAUGUAGGUGGUCUCAUUUGUCUGAGGUGAAAGCCUUGAGCUUAACUCAAGAAGUGCCUUAGAAACGGUGAGACUGGAGUCCUGGAGAGGGUCGUGGAAUUCCCGGUGUAGCGGUGAAAUGCGUAGAGAUCGGGAGGAACACCAGCGGCGAAGGCGGCGACCUGGACAGGUACUGACACUCAAAUACGAAAGCGUGGGUAGCAAACAGG